This is a long non-coding RNA of Lotus japonicus, 578 nucleotides long. RefSeq lists it as uncharacterized. The transcript has 5 exons. The record is from RefSeq and is a predicted model, not a curated record. Lineage: Eukaryota; Viridiplantae; Streptophyta; Magnoliopsida; Fabales; Fabaceae.
CAACUGAAGGGAAAAUCAGAGUUAGAGCUUGGAGCAGACAUUGAAAUAUUUACAGGUCAUAAAGAUUAGAGAAAUUGUUGGCUUGAAGUUAAAAAGGAGAAGAAAAAAACUAGAUUUUGUGGUUGAGCAGAGCUGCAUCAAUUGUGGUGUUUGCAUGGGCAAGUACUUCAGUGAGACAUGUAAACUCAAUGAUGAUGAUGUAAGUGAUUCAUCUUGGUCGAAUAGACAGGAAGAUUGAGUUUCCUCUCCCUGAUAUCAAGACAAGGAGACGCAUUUUCCAGAUACACACAUCAAGGAUGACAUUGGCUGAUGAUGUCAACUUAGAAGAAUUUGUUAUGACUAAAGAUGAGUUCUCUGGAGCUGAUAUAAAGGUAAUAUGUACUGAAGCUGGUUUACUUGCUUUACGAGAACGCCGAAUGAAGGUUAAGGUCUUUUGCUAGUGUAUUAGCAAUUAUUUAUACUUCAGUGAGACAUGUAAACUCAAUGAUGAUGAUGUAAGUGAUUCAUCUUGGAACAAAGGAAUUUUGUGUUUGUGUGUGUGUGAGAGUAUGUUCUCAAUAACAAUUAGUAUUGUUUUC